CAUCUUCAUCUUCGGUACGAAGCUAUAAAUACCAUCUCCACAUCUCUCCCAUUUCAUCAAUCAACGCAAACACUCCACAUCUCUCUCUCCUCUUCAGUCCUCACUCUCAUAUCAUCUCAUUGAGAUUUGCUUCUCUUCUUCAACUACAGCAGCAGCAGCAGCAGACAGAACACGCCCAAUAUGGCCUCCCUUUCUACUUCUUCGCUUUGCAUCGCCACUCUGCUUCUCGUGGUCGUUUCUUGGGGGACGUUUGCUUCCGCCCGCAACUUCUAUCAAGACUUCGACAUAACCUGGGGUGAUGGCCGAGCUCAGAUCCUCAACAACGGCGACCUCCUCACUCUCUCCCUCGACAAGGCCUCCGGCUCCGGCUUCCAGUCCAAGAACGAGUACUUGUUCGGCAAGAUUGACAUGCAGCUCAAGCUAGUUCCCGGCAACUCCGCUGGCACCGUCACCGCAUACUAUGUAAGUCUCCUUCUUAAUCAGUUUGUGCCCCUUUAUCUUCAAGCUUCCUUCUUUUUUUCUCGAUCAGAUUUUUAAUUUUUGCUAUGUUGUUAUUCUACAGUUAUCUUCAAACGGGUCGGCGUGGGAUGAGAUAGACUUCGAGUUCUUGGGGAACUUGAGCGGCGAUCCAUACAUUCUCCACACCAACGUCUUCAGCCAAGGCAAGGGUAACCGAGAGCAGCAAUUCUAUCUCUGGUUCGACCCAACUGCUGAUUUCCACACCUACUCCAUCCUCUGGAAUCCACAACGCAUCAUGUAAGAGUCUGAAAAGCUCAAAAUGCGACCUUACUUGCAUUUACAUUGCGCUACACUAUUCUCUGCGGCAUUUACUCAAAUACCUUUGUGCGCGACCAUUGCAGAUUCUCAGUGGACGGGACUCCCAUCAGAGAGUUCAAGAACGCAGAGUCCAUCGGUGUUCCCUUCCCCAAGGCCCAGCCCAUGAGGAUAUUCUCGAGCCUCUGGAACGCGGACGACUGGGCGACCAGAGGCGGGCUCGUGAAGACGGACUGGACGCAAGCGCCCUUCACUGCUUCCUACAGGAACUUCAACGCCGAUAACGCCUGCGUUUGGUCAUCUGGGUCGUCAUCUUGCACUUCGUCUUCAUCUUCUUCGGAUGGUAAUGCAUGGCUAGCAGAAGAGCUUGACUCGACAAGCCAAGAGAGGCUCAAGUGGGUGCAGAGCAACUACAUGAUCUACAACUACUGCACGGAUGCCAAAAGAUUCCCCCAGGGCUUCCCUCCUGAGUGCUCCAUGUCCUAAACGACACAAGACAUAGGAUUUGUAGAAAAUUCUCUAUUCGUUUUUUUCCCUUUUUGGAGCCGAUUCUAUCAAUCUGUUAAUCUCUCUCUCUCUCUCUCUCUCUCUCUCUCUCUCGUCGAGAAGCAAUUGAUAUUCUUUUAUUCUUUGACACGUGUCACAUUCUUGUCUUUAUUAAAUGAAACAGAAAAUCAUCUUGGAUUUCAUAGCAUUGCUGUGAUUCUCAGUACACAUGUUUUUACAUGACCCCGAAGUGUAGGUUCGAAGUCUUGUAAUCAGUCUUGUAAUCUAUACAAUAAAUACUCCAAGCAAUGCUAUUUCUACUGUCUAUAAGGAUUUUCCCACGGCUAAUUUAGUAAAUUAAAAAAAUCACCCUCAAAGAAGAGGGAAAACAAAGAAAAAAAAAAGAAAAAAAGAAAAGAAAAAAUAAUUCGAAUUUAAAAAUAAAAGGGGGGGGGGGGGAGAGGAGGAGGAGGAAAUGAAGGCUUGGAAGAGUGUGAGAUAAGAGAAACCAAGUAAGAAAAAGUGGAAAACAUUUUUCCCUAGUUUAAAAGACUUUUUUUUCCUCAUUCAUGGAAAAUGUUUUCCCCAAGCAAUUCAUUUUUUUGUGAAAUAAACGUUGGAACUUUGGAAAACAUUUUUUUAGAAAUUAUUUUCCGCAAAACGAAUGAAGCCUGAAUGUAAACUUUGUAUGACCGGUACAAAAGAUAUAAACCACUUAUUCUUUUAGUGCACCUGGACAAGUAGUGUAUGGCAUAGUAUUUUGGUACAAAAUGGAAUUUGACAUUAUGUAGGAGGUUGGAACUUAGAACUUCAAUGAAUGAUUGGAGACACCAAGGGUAAAAACUUGAAGAUGAGACUCCUCAAGCUAUCUUUUUUAGCGACAAUCUAUUACAUCUGGAUGGAACACAAUCGCAAAUGAUUUCAAAACAAGUAGAUUGAGACUCAUGUUCUGUUAACUAAGAUUCAAAAGAUUGUAAGAGGUAAGACGUCACUCUACUAAAAAUGUAGGUCUUUCUAGGCAAAUGUUUUAUUAGCUCCUGUAUGGAGCCUCCCUCCUUCCAUCUUUUCGCAUUAAUGGUCUCUUUAUAAUGUUAGGGGAUCCCCCUAAGCUUAGUACCUCAUAUGAUUAAUGAUAUUCACAUAUUUACAAUUUUUUUUUUUUAAAAGUGCGAAAAUGAAAACCUGACAGUAGUCGACCAAAGAAUACACAUGGCCAUGUUUUAGAGCUUUAGGACAGGAUCCACCUUGAGUAAAAUGGAAAUUUAAGUAUUCAUGAAAUUAUUCUAAACGUGUGACAUUACACUAUUCUAAUCCAUGCCAAACAAAUUAUUUAUAAUAAAAGUUAUUUAUAGAAUACCCAAAAAAGCACUAAUUAGGGGAUGACUUUAGAAAAUUAGAGAAAUUCCAAACCUAUCAUUUAUGCUCUAGUUUAUUUAACAGUAAUAUAUACUUUUUGGUUUUCUUCCAUAUUUUUUAAUUAUUAUUUUUAAAAUUUGUUUGAAAAAUAAUAUCAAUUCAUUAGACUGAAGUAUGCUUAAUUCAAAUAAACAUGGACCAAUUCAAAACAUGAAUAUCACAUUAAUAAAGCUCGAAUCAACCUGUUCAAGAUUGGAAUGUGGUUUGGGCAUUUCGUCGAACGACCAAUGUGCAUUAGAAUACACAGACCAGUUCGUGACCUUCAAUCUUGACUCGAAAGUGAUCUUAAGCUCAAACAAGACAUCAGAGUUAUACUAAAACUUUUAGGGGAAAAUAUGAACAAGAAAUAAGAUCCCAAAAUACAUUAAAUUAUAAUUUAGCCUACCUUAUAUUGGUUCAACCUACUUUUGCAAAUCGAGGUUUGAACCCUAGUCAAGAAAAUAGGUCGCCUACCCCGAUUCAAGCCCUUAUAUCUAAUAUACUAAAGACUUUGGGAAAAAUUCACUCAAUCUGAAUGAAUGUAUGUAUUACGAGAUUUCAAAUGCAACAAACAUCCCAGAUAAUGAUCAACUACAAAGGUCAAAAUGACCCCUCAAAGUGGCCUUCAUGCAUGAUCCACACAAGCUAGCCAUCUAGUGUGAAUCGGUUCAGUUUUUUGUUCAAGUUCUAAGUGCUCCAUGGCUCAUAUAGAGAUUUAAAAACCAAAUGAAGUUGACCUAAGUAUCAUUUGUAAUCCCAUAUAAUAUUCAUCAAGUUUACAAAGACAGAUAACUCAUGUAAACAAGUGUAGCAAGUCAAGUAUGCAAGACUCUUGAAGCUAGUUCAACACUUAGAAAACCAGCCUCAGAUAUAAGUUUCCUAACUCUUGAUUUUCCAUGGUCAAAAUUGAACAAAAAUGCAUUUAAGAUCCCUACCUUGCUACCUAGUUGCUGCUCCUAAUAAGCUUCUAAGAUGGCAAAGAGAGUAGGAUUUGAAUUGCACACCAAAGAGAGAGAGGGUAUGCUUGGGACAUAUUUGUAAAAAUUGGAAUUAAUUUACGAAAGUACCUAAGUUUAGAGCAUCACCAAGAUAUGUGACCUCCUAGGAAAGUGUCUUCCUGUACGACAAAACAAAAGUUUGAGACUUUGUAUUGGAAGGGCCAAAAGGACAAUAUCUCGACUAAGUUAAUAAAUUAAUGUUAAUGUCGUUACAACAUUAAUUUCAAUUUUCACAAAUAUAAGUCAAGCGCACUCUUCUCAUGUUAGGUGUGGAAUUCUAUUUAUUCAUGUCCCCUUCACCAUUCUAGAAAUCUACUAUGAGCCAUUUUUUUAUCUGAAUCCUCUGGCUCCAACGACUACUCUUUCCCCCAUCAAACGGGAUGUGCUGUCUUCACUAUGAGAAACGACAUUAGCUGGCGGAAAAGCAGCGAGAGGUCAUGAUAACGCAUGUGCUGCUGGCGGUCGAUGGAUGAUCGAGCUCGUCUCUGCGUGGGGGUGGGCGUGCGAGGGGAAGCUUCGUGGUGUCUCUAACCGCGUCCCACUAAUUUAUUUGUACGACGGAGGUUGGUAUGUCGCCGCUCGUCUGUCUUCUUUUCAGAAUCAUAUUUUAAUAUCAGAAGCCAACUGUCCACAGUUGAGUCGGUGUCGAGGUUUGACUCCCAUCAAUCCUUCUUUGCCUCUCCUGUUCUCUCACACGUUUUCUCCCUCCUCCAUCUUCGGCACGAAGCUAUAAAUACCAUCUCCACAUCUCUCCCAUUUCAUCAACCAACAGAAACACCCACAUCUCUCCCUCCUCUUCAGUCCUCACUCUCAUAUCAUCUUUGCUUCUCUUCAGCAACUACAGCAGCAGCAGAAAGACAGACAGAACACGCCCAAUAUGGCCUUCCCUUCUACUUCCUCACUUUGCAUCACUACACUGCUUCUCGUGGUCGUUUCUUGGGCGACGUCUGCUUCCGCCCGCAACUUCUAUCAAGACUUCGACAUAACCUGGGGUGAUGGCCGAGCUCAGAUCCUCAACAACGGCGACCUCCUCACUCUCUCCCUUGACAAGGCCUCCGGCUCUGGCUUCCAGUC
This 4727-nucleotide long non-coding RNA is filed under the name Eucalyptus grandis. Its description in RNAcentral is "long non-coding RNA (EGRA_LNC001210)". The record is from RNAcentral. Lineage: Eukaryota; Viridiplantae; Streptophyta; Magnoliopsida; Myrtales; Myrtaceae.